UUGUUGGCAAACACGUAUAUAUGUUCAACGGUAGCACGUUGUUACACGCGCCGACUCAAUUCCGUGGCAUUACGGGCUCUGUCCGUCAUCCAGCGCCGUCAAAACUUGUCGUCGGUCACUUCCCGAUGGAAUCUUCCGUCCGAAUCGUUGUCGUCGGCGACGUCCAUGAUGAUUGGAACCUUGAAGAAGAUAGGAAGGCUCUUCAACUCUUGAAGCCAGAUUUGGUGCUCUUUACAG
Molecule: unclassified non-coding RNA, 237 nt
Filed under: Hevea brasiliensis (rubber tree)
Lineage: Eukaryota; Viridiplantae; Streptophyta; Magnoliopsida; Malpighiales; Euphorbiaceae
Source: RNAcentral